This 214-nucleotide ribosomal RNA is filed under the name Glomeromycotina sp. RNAcentral describes it as "partial small subunit ribosomal RNA". The stretch from base 39 to 214 matches the Rfam family "Eukaryotic small subunit ribosomal RNA", at positions 686 to 864 of the family's 1831-position model. The record is from RNAcentral. Lineage: Eukaryota; Fungi; Glomeromycota.
GGUCAGUAGGUUGGUCGUGCCACCGGUACGUACUGGUCUCACUGAUUCCUCCUUCCUGAAGAACCGUAAUGCCAUUAAUUUGGUGUUGCGGGGAAACAGGACUGUUACUUUGAAAAAAUUAGAGUGUUUAAAGCAAGCUAACGCUUGAAUACAUAGCAUGGAAUAAUGAAAUAGGACGAUCGAUCCUAUUUUGUUGGUUUCUAGGAUUGACGUA